CCUACGGGAGGCAGCAGUGGGGAAUUUUGGACAAUGGGCGCAAGCCUGACCCAGCAAUGCCGCGUGAGUGAAGAAGGCCUUCGGGUUGUAAAGCUCUUUUGUCAGGGAAGAAACGGUGAAGGCUAAUAUCCUUUGCUAAUGACGGUACCUGAAGAAUAAGCACCGGCUAACUACGUGCCAGCAGCCGCGGUAAUACGUAGGGUGCAAGCGUUAAUCGGAAUUACUGGGCGUAAAGCGUGCGCAGGCGGUUUUGUAAGUUUGUCGUGAAAUCCCCGGGCUCAACCUGGGAAUGGCGAUGAAGACUGCAAGGCUAGAAUCUGGCAGAGGGGGGUAGAAUUCCACGUGUAGCAGUGAAAUGCGUAGAGAUGUGGAGGAACACCGAUGGCGAAGGCAGCCCCCUGGGUCAAGAUUGACGCUCAUGCACGAAAGCGUGGGGAGCAAAACAGGAUUAGAUACCCUGGUAGUCCACGCCCUAAACGAUGUCUACUAGUUGUCGGGUUUUAAUUAACUUGGUAACGCAGCUAACGCGUGAAGUAGACCGCCUGGGGAGUACGGUCGCAAGAUUUAAAAACCNCGAAAAGGAAUUGACGGCUGAGAGUGCCGACGACGACGACGAGGGAGGUUAGGAG
RNAcentral lists this ribosomal RNA (629 nucleotides) under uncultured bacterium. RNAcentral's name for it is "bacterial SSU rRNA". It matches the Rfam family "Bacterial small subunit ribosomal RNA", at positions 338 to 955 of the family's 1533-position model. The record is from RNAcentral.